CAGAGCCGCGGGAAUACAGAGGGUGCGAGCGUUAAUCGGAUUUACUGGGCGUAAAGCGUGCGUAGGUGGUGGUUUAAGUCCGUUGUGAAAGCCCUGGGCUCAACCUGGGAAUUGCAGUGGAUACUGGGUCACUAGAGUGUGGUAGAGGAUAGUGGAAUUUCCGGUGUAGCAGUGAAAUGCGUAGAGAUCGGAAGGAACAUCUGUGGCGAAGGCGACUAUCUGGGCCAACACUGACACUGAGGCACGAAAGCGUGGGGAGCAAACAGGAUUAGAUACCCCUGUAGUCCCUGUCUCUUAUACA
Molecule: ribosomal RNA, 301 nt
Filed under: uncultured bacterium
Lineage: Bacteria
Description: partial 16S ribosomal RNA
Rfam family: Bacterial small subunit ribosomal RNA
Source: RNAcentral